CUACGUGCCAGCAGCCGCGGUAAUACGUAGGGUGCGAGCGUUAAUCGGAAUUACUGGGCGUAAAGCGAGCGCAGACGGUUACUUAAGCAGGAUGUGAAAUCCCCGGGCUCAACCUGGGAACUGCGUUCUGAACUGGGUGACUAGAGUGUGUCAGAGGGAGGUAGAAUUCCACGUGUAGCAGUGAAAUGCGUAGAGAUGUGGAGGAAUACCGAUGGCGAAGGCAGCCUCCUGGGAUAACACUGACGUUCAUGCUCGAAAGCGUGGGUAGCAAACAGGAUUAGAUACCCUGGUAGUCCACGCCCUAAACGAUGUCAAUUAGCUGUUGGGCAACUUGAUUGCUUAGUAGCGUAGCUAACGCGCGAAAUUGACCGCCUGGGGAGUACGGUCGCAAGAUUAAAACUCAAAGGAAUUGACGGGGACCCGCACAAGCGGUGGAUGAUGUGGAUUAAUUCGAUGCAACGCGAAAAACCUUACCUACGCUUGACAU
RNAcentral lists this ribosomal RNA (487 nucleotides) under uncultured bacterium. Its description in RNAcentral is "bacterial SSU rRNA". It matches the Rfam family "Bacterial small subunit ribosomal RNA", at positions 501 to 987 of the family's 1533-position model. The record is from RNAcentral.